AAUUUUUAGAAAAUUCUCGCAUAAAUCUAUUCCAUCAUUUUAGAAUAUAAACCUUGAUUAAUUUCAAGAACAACAUGAUUCCUGCACUUCCUGCAAAAAUGUUCUCAAUUUUUUUUUUAAAAUGCACUCAAUUGAAUUCCACAUGUGCGCAAGCAUUUACUAGAUGGAGUCAAAUAUGGUGUGCCCAAUAUGAAAUUAUAUAUUGUGAUUGCACCAGGAAGAAGGA
RNAcentral lists this unclassified non-coding RNA (226 nucleotides) under Hevea brasiliensis (rubber tree). The record is from RNAcentral. Lineage: Eukaryota; Viridiplantae; Streptophyta; Magnoliopsida; Malpighiales; Euphorbiaceae.